CCUACGGGUGGCUGCAGUCGAGAAUCUUCGGCAAUGGGCGCAAGCCUGACCGAGCGACGCCGCGUGGAGGACGAAGGCCUUCGGGUUGUAAACUCCUGUCGAGGGGAGCACCGAUCCCUGGAGGAAGCACGGGCUAAGUUCGUGCCAGCAGCCGCGGUAAGACGAACCGUGCGAACGUUAUUCGGAAUCACUGGGCUUAAAGCGCGUGUAGGCGGGCCGUCACGUCGCUGCUGAAAUCCCCCGGCUCAACCGGGGAACGGGCACCGAUACGAGCGGCCUCGAGGGGGGUAGGGGGGUCUGGAACUUCCGGUGGAGCGGUGAAAUGCGUUGAGAUCGGAAGGAACGCCCGUGGCGAAAGCGAGGCCCUGGACCCUACUGACGCUGAGACGCGAAAGCCAGGGGAGCGAACGGGAUUAGAUACCCUUGUAGUC
Molecule: ribosomal RNA, 431 nt
Filed under: uncultured bacterium
Lineage: Bacteria
Description: partial 16S ribosomal RNA
Rfam family: Bacterial small subunit ribosomal RNA
Source: RNAcentral